AUACAUCACCUUUUGCACCUGACCUAAGGUUAGUUUCGACUAUGAGGAAUAUGUUGAUAACGGGGAUGAGUUAACCUAUUGGCAGGUUCUCUUACCUUGCUUGCACUUUUACACUUGUAUAUAUUUUUACUUGCAAUUUUUCAAGCUUGAUGAACUCAAUUGUUUGCAUGUAGAUAAUCACUUCAACUUAGAUGAGGUGUUGAAGACCCUACAAGCGCCAGGGAGCGAUGAGUGAUUUAUUCCAACUAGUGGUAGGUUUUUGCAUGUUUUGCUUUUGAUUUCAUAAUUAGAGCUACUUCAUUUUUUGUUCUUUCGGCUUGAUGGAUUUAACAAUGUAUAUACAAGUACAGAAUUUAACUUGGAGGAAAAAUUGAUUCCAUGCCCGAGCACAGGCACGAUAGUGAUGGAGACUUAACUCUCAUCUUGUUGAAAAAAAAAAAAAGACCAUCAAUGGAGGCAAGGUGUCAUGCCUUAGAGGAGAUUUCACAACCCUCGGACGGGCCCUUCAAAGUUAUCCCAUUGCGCAAGCCUAGAGGAUACAGUUCAAGUCACAUUACGUCUGAGCACAAGAACUCUCGUCUUCCUAAUUUUGGAUUCUCCCAUUCGAGGUUAUCAUGAGAUGGUAAUACUUCAGUCCUUGGUAACGCCUGCUCGAGCCAAGGCUAUACCCUGAGGGUAAACUUCCUGCUACACUUCCUUCUUUUUGUUUAAGUUUAUUCUUUCAAGUAUGCCUAACAGUCAUCUAUCAUUUUGUUUCUUUGCCUAUUAGGUGGUAGCCUUACAAAUUAGACAUGUUUAGUCAAAUCAUCGUCGAGCAUCGAAGUUAAAGGCUUUUGAAGAAAGAUAAUUAUCACUACAAAAAGAAAAUUUCUUCUUUGAAGAAGUCUCUUGAAGCUUUGGAGGCCCAAGCUCGCAAGGAAGAGAUAAAAUUGAUAACCUAUAGUCUAUUUUUGCCCGAGCAUAUAAAGAAGCAGUAGAAUUGUAUAAGGCCUCUAUGGGGUAUGCUAAGGAUCUAGAGGCAUCCGUGAAGCAAUAUAAAUCAUUAUCAAAUUAUGAUAAUGCCUUGCAUUUAUAUGGGAAAAAGGUGAUGGUUGCAUCCAUCAAAUUGUCUAAGAAAUGGAUAUCUCCUAAGCACCCUUCCAUCAAUCCCUUGAACUUCGACAAGUUUCUGGAGCGACGCAAAAGGAAGAGUGAACAGAGCCCAUCUAUCCAAGACAUACGAGCACACAUCGCAACGUGAAAGAGAAAGGACUUUCCACUCACACUGAUGUGGUCUUUAGUUGUAAAUAUUUAGCGCUUGCUGCUAUUAUUUAUUUUUGUCACUUGAUAGUGAAUUGGUUCCUCCUAGUCUAAAAUGUGAACAAAAAGUCACACUUUAUUUUGGGUAUGGAUUUUUCCUUAUUGAACAUAAUUGUUAGUUAGUCCUUUUGCAUCUAUCUUGCUAUAUACCCGUCGCUCGACGAUGUGCAAAAGUUAACUUGUAGGUUCUCACACAACUUUUCGUGUAUGAUAAUUUAGUAGUUAGCAGACAUAACAAGCAGGUGAGUGCACCUAGCUUCACAACAAUCAACAGAGGUGGUUUGAUUGUGACAGGGUUGAUGUGC
Molecule: long non-coding RNA, 1604 nt
Filed under: Olea europaea (common olive)
Lineage: Eukaryota; Viridiplantae; Streptophyta; Magnoliopsida; Lamiales; Oleaceae
Description: long non-coding RNA (OEUR_LNC015291)
Source: RNAcentral